GGAAAAUGAACCAGAAGGAGCUUGCUGACACACUGGAGAAAUAUUCAGAUGAUCCUGCUGUGAUUUGCCAACGUGAACUCAAAUCUAAUCUAAAGAAGAAGUUUCAGUGUGUAUUUGAGGGGAUCGCUAAACAAGGAAACCCAACACUUCUCAAUAAGAUCUACACAGAGCUCUACAUCACAGAGGGYGGAACAGGAGAGGUCAA
Molecule: non-coding RNA, 205 nt
Organism: Salvelinus sp. IW2-2015
Lineage: Eukaryota; Metazoa; Chordata; Actinopteri; Salmoniformes; Salmonidae
Source: RefSeq, a predicted model, not a curated record